RNAcentral lists this long non-coding RNA (3995 nucleotides) under Triticum aestivum (bread wheat). RNAcentral describes it as "long non-coding RNA (TAES_LNC015257)". The record is from RNAcentral. Lineage: Eukaryota; Viridiplantae; Streptophyta; Magnoliopsida; Poales; Poaceae.
CACUCCCCAUUCCAUGGUGGCCUCCGCCUGUUCUCCCCGCUGCCUGCUCUCCUCCGCAUGCCGCGCCGUCGCACGACGCCUCCUCCCUGUUGCCACGAUGUCGCCCAGCGCCUCCUCCUCCACCCCUCUGCCUCGCCCCGCCGCCUCCUCGCCGCACGACGGCCUCGCCUCGCCAGCAACCCCGCCGGUCUUACCUAGAUAAACUCUGCCGCUGCCAUCCCCAUGUCCCAGCGCAGAUCUAGACGGGAGCUAGAGGGGCAUGCUGGACACGAUGCGGGAGCGGGCAUAUCAUAGCGGACCGAGAUCCAGUGCGUCUACGUGCCCGCCGUCAUCGUUGCCCCCCGUGCUUGGCUCCCACACUCGCUCCAGGUAGGUGCUCGCAGCUCGCCUACUGCUCGGCUGCUCCAGGUACUUGACGGACUCAGGUAGUUGUAAUGGGAUGUCAGCUUCUUAAUCAGUACUCAUAGUUUUUGUGUACCUAUCAUUUGUCAAUUGAAGUGGAAAUGAAAUUCUAGUCUUAUUUUACUAAAUUGUGAGAUUCAGGAUCUGGUUGAUAUUUUGAGAGUUUUUACCAUUUAGGUUUUUGGUAACGCACAUCAGGAAUGCACACUUUAAUUUAUUUUAAGUGUGUACCUAUCAUUUGUUGUGUUUUAACAUAUCUUGCCACUACUCUGUAGUUAAAGCACAACGUGAGGCUGCAGCAGAAGCUUGAGGAAUGCAGGGGCUAAUAAUAGUACUCAUCAACCAAAAAUACCGGCGUCGUCAACCAUGCUUUGAACUUUUGGAGAUCAAGCUGUACGGUUGUACCAUGAAGAUUUUUGGUAAAUACCUCAACUCUCAUGAGAUGAUUAGCUUAGAAAAUCGAGAUAUUUUCUCAUUAAUUUCAGCUCUUCUGAUGAGGCACAUAGUUUUGUGCUUGGGGUGCUCAGAAAGAAUAGGAUGUUUUCUUUUUUAUACAUCUCGUGGCUUAUACUUGUGUCAGAACAGAAAGGAAAAAAGAAUACUUGGUCUUUACAUGGAAACGACGCUCCUAUGGUUUUGUGAUCUCAAAUUUUGCAGAAUUUCUUCUAAUGUUUUAUUUACUCUUUUACUGGCUUCCCCGUCUUUAUUUGUGACGCUUAGUUGCUCACCCUGGCAUGCUCUGUUACCCAAGAUGCAGUUUAAGGAUUCAAGUGGCGAUUGCAACCCAAAACAUUGCAAAGAAUCUGCUACCAGAGGCUUCAUUAUGCACACCUUUUCUUUUUACAAAAUGGAGUCUGAUCUGCUGUCAUCACAUCACCAGGUAUGCCUACAGCACCAAUGUUUGUACAGUGACAUUUAUUCACACACAAAUGAAGAUAUUCUAAGGUUAGAACGAACAUCACCUUCAACACCUGGUGUGUAUCGUAGUUGGGUGACAGCAGAUUGCGCAGUGGGCCUCUCGGCGGUGUGAAAAUCCGGCAGAAGAAAUCACUUGAUCAUAUAUUUGAUUAUACUUCUGAUUGCUCAAUCAUAUAUAAAGAACAAAAUAUAAUGGACAAACCAGGUGAUAAUGAUAUUGCCGCGUGUGUCCUAGAUGGGGUGUGUUCUGCAUUAAGAAUAGUAGAUGUAGCUUUCUUAUGAGCCAUGUUUAGUGCAUACCUCUCCCUUUCCCUUUGUCUCUUCAACUCUUUAGGACCUGCCAUUUGGCCUGCGUGACAAAAUCUUUACAUAGGCUCGAGUUGGUGAUAUAUUUAAGUUACUUACCUGAGUUGGUGAUGUUGAAUAGGUCCUCAAAUUGGGUCCCUAAGUCGUCACGCUGAGUCGUAAUUAUUGAAAUUUUCCUUGUUACAAAAUGUCCGGUUUGAUUUGAAGGAAUUUGGAUCAUGAAAUGGAGCCUGAUCGGACAUCAUCACAUCAGCAUUUAUGCCUGUACCACCAAUGUCAGUACAGUAACAUUUUUUUACACACAAAUGGAGUUCCAAAUUUGUUAGGCUGAGAGGAUGCCAUAUGCAACUGUCUCAAUCAGGAUCUUAGUGUUCUCAAUCAUGGUUGUUGUACAUGAAAGAUUUACUUGAGCCAUAAACAGGAUGGUUGCAGGAGAAAAAUAAGUACAAUGAUUUGGUGUUUUCAAUGCUUUGAGCUGAAAAACAGUUCAGAUACCUGAAUUGCUGAUGGUCCUGAAGUCGUUACGCCGAGAGGAUGCCAUAUGCAACUGUCACAAUCAGGAUCUUAGUGUUCCCAAUCAUGGUUGUUGUGCUUGAAAGAUUUAGUCAUGAGCCAUAAAUAGGAUGGUUGUAGGAGAAAAAGAAGUACAAUGAUUUGGUGCUUUCAAUGUUUUGAGCUGAAAAACAGUUCAGAUUAUAUGCUUCCAGCCGUGAAACUGCUUAUCGCAUUAGUCUUUUUCAUUGUAUUUUAGCGCUUCCGGUGAUUCCUUCUCUGUCAUCAUUGUGCUUUUCAGGUUUGAUUCCUUUUGUGACACAUUAAGUGGCCUCACAGGUUGGUUGCACGUUUCCCUCUAUUAUGUAAGUAGUAACCCAUAGUGCCGCUUUUUUCCUUGGUGCUAAUAGAAACAAAUUCUCAAACAUAGUACACAAGAAAUAUUCGAUGGCAGGAACACCAGUACGAUAUUAUGCAUAUAUAAUCAUGAACAUACUACAAUAUUUGUUUCCUCAGGUUCUGUGCCCAGUUCAAUCACCGCUCCACACAGUAGGGUUAACCGAAGAUUCUCUUAGGUUCUGGGCCUCUGGACUGUACAAAAACACCAUGAGAAAACAAAACACCAUGAGAAAACUCUGUUAGAGCCAGCACACCUAUAGACUGUGAACCCAAGUAGCAGAACAUGACAAUUUUUUGUGAAAUCGGUCACUCCAUCUAACCACACUGAUUAAUGUGUUUAUCCAAGAAUAGUAUUCAGUAGAAUAGCAGACAAGAAUGGUAAAUCUCGACAGAUAGGAGAGAAAUUGUGCAGUAAGGCAGCAAAGCGAAGCUGGGACUGAACCUGGAGACCAUAUCGGAUGACGCCGAUCUGCUCAACACCCUUGAACGGCUCCGGGAGCAGCGGGAACAGGUUUCGCCCUCGUGCCACCAGGUUUUGCCGUCCUGUUGCUGGUUGGCGAGCCGAUACUUCCCGUCGGCCUUGUUGGUAUCGGAAACGCUGGAGAAGAGCUACGCCGCAGGCAUGAAGUCCUUCCCGGUGACCAGGUAUCCGUCGGGGACUCGAACGUCCACCAUACGACCGUGUCGUCAACGUGGAACAACACAAAGUUGUCGUCAUCUCGCAGGGCGCCCGCAACUCAGGCAGAUCUGAUUGGGCGACCAGGUGGGUUUCCAUUGGCCGUGGAAAUCAUACCUGGCCGAUCUGAUGGGGCUGUCUGCUGCUUCAAAACUCAGGCAAAUUGAUGCAUAAUAAUCUUGUUGUAGCCUGACAAAUAUGUGAAUAUCUGAUUGUAGGUGAAAGGAGGGGCGGCCACCCACUCGACGGUGCGGUGCAGGGUGGCAAGGGAGCCGGCAGGGAGGCGUCAACGCGGUGCAUGGCCGUGAGGGAACCGUCUAGGGAGGCGACGAUGCGAUGCAGGGAUCGAGGCCGCCGUGCAGGGAGGCGACGGGGCUGCUGAGCUUCGUCUGGGGCGGUGGCGAGGAAAGGCAGGGAGAGGGGCGAGGGAGACGAUUAGGUUUAGUUUCCUUUUAUUCAAAUUGAUUAGAUGGUUAGAUUAGCGUGAUUUGAGGGCCUGCGGAGGUGGGAUGGAGAGUUUCAUGUUUUCAUCUAGUGGAGUAUGGUCAGUCCAUGUAAACUGCUAAGCGCACACCAGAUCUCGAAUAAAUUAAUAAUGGCUGUUAGAUUGGGUCGUGUAGGCUUCAUCCUGUGGUGGUGAUGUGUCUGUAUACGUUUUGCGGGAUGUACGUAAGAAAGUUCUUGUUUGAUUGUUUAAUAGUAGUAGAGAUACGAGAAAAGAUGAAAAGGUGCAAGUUGUCCGCACCGCAAAAAAGUGUUUUCCUCUAUCAAGUAUUCGAUCGCAAGUAACGAGAGAGUCGCU